UACAUGGUUUUAAUAGACAAAAAUACCUCAUAUUAUGGAUUGUAAGUUUUAAAGUCAAGAGUAUUUGAAUAAUUUACAUUUUUAAAACUAAAAAAAAAAAAAAAUAAUCGCCAAAUCCUUAGUCACCUUUCUCUCAUCCUUCAUUCUUCUCAACCUUUUCUCUUUCAUCUCUCUCACUCCAACCUUACCGUAGCCUAAACUGAAAAAAUCAUAAACACUCAUUUAACACUAAUUAACCUUUCUCACUUAUCCAAUUUGUUUAUCUUUCACUCUAUCAUCUCUCUUUCACCAAUACACACCAACCCACGACACCGCAAUUUAUUGAUCUUACUAUGUUCGUUCAUUUGUUU
Molecule: long non-coding RNA, 350 nt
Filed under: Vigna radiata
Lineage: Eukaryota; Viridiplantae; Streptophyta; Magnoliopsida; Fabales; Fabaceae
Description: long non-coding RNA (VRAD_LNC005449)
Source: RNAcentral